RNAcentral lists this ribosomal RNA (547 nucleotides) under Praomys daltoni (Dalton's Praomys). RNAcentral describes it as "partial 16S ribosomal RNA". It matches the Rfam family "Bacterial large subunit ribosomal RNA", at positions 1816 to 2595 of the family's 2925-position model. Lineage: Eukaryota; Metazoa; Chordata; Mammalia; Rodentia; Muridae. The record is from RNAcentral.
CACCUCUAGCAUUACAAGUAUUAGAGGCAUCGCCUGCCCAGUGACUGUAGUUAAACGGCCGCGGUAUACUGACCGUGCAAAGGUAGCAUAAUCACUUGUUCCUUAAUUAGGGACUUGUAUGAACGGCUGAACGAGGGCCCAACUGUCUCUUAUUUUUAAUCAGUGAAAUUGACCUUCCAGUGAAGAGGCUGGAAUUACUAAAUAAGACGAGAAGACCCUAUGGAGCUUAAAUUUAUAAACUUAUUUAUUAUAAUAGUACUCCUAAUGGAACAAAAACAGUAUUAUAAGCUUAAAAUUUCGGUUGGGGUGACCUCGGAGAACAAAAAAUCCUCCGAACGAUUAUAACAUAGACCAACAAGUCAAAGUAACUUAACUUUCCAAUUGACCCAAAAAUAAUUUGAUCAACGGACCAAGUUACCCUAGGGAUAACAGCGCAAUCCUAUUUAAGAGUUCAUAUCGACAAUAGGGUUUACGACCUCGAUGUUGGAUCAGGACAUCCCAAUGGUGCAGAAGCUAUUAAUGGUUCGUUUGUUCAACGAUUAAAGUC